RNAcentral lists this non-coding RNA (22 nucleotides) under Arabidopsis thaliana (thale cress). Lineage: Eukaryota; Viridiplantae; Streptophyta; Magnoliopsida; Brassicales; Brassicaceae. The record is from RNAcentral.
GUAGACCAAGUCCGGGUGUCUA